CCAGCAAUGGGAGCGGCGGACGGGUGAAUAACGCGUGGGAAUAUGCCCUUUGGUACGGAACAACUCAGGGAAACUUGAGCUAAUACCGUAUGAGCCGGUAACGGGAAAGAUUUAUCGCCAAAGGAUUAGCCCGCGUCCGAUUAGCUUGUUGGUGAGGUAAUGGCUCACCAAGGCACCGAUCGGUAGCUGGUCUGAGAGGACGACCAGCCACACUGGGACUGAGACACGGCCCAGACUCCUACGGGAGGCAGCAGUGGGGAAUCUUGGACAAUGGGGGAAACCCUGAUCCAGCCAUGCCGCGUGAGUGAUGAAGGCCUUAGGG
Molecule: ribosomal RNA, 322 nt
Filed under: uncultured bacterium
Lineage: Bacteria
Description: bacterial SSU rRNA
Rfam family: Bacterial small subunit ribosomal RNA
Source: RNAcentral